RNAcentral lists this ribosomal RNA (468 nucleotides) under uncultured bacterium. Its description in RNAcentral is "partial 16S ribosomal RNA". It matches the Rfam family "Bacterial small subunit ribosomal RNA", at positions 28 to 507 of the family's 1533-position model. The record is from RNAcentral.
GACGAACGCUGGCGGCGUGCUUAACACAUGCAAGUCGAACGGAAAGGCCCUGCUUUUGUGGGGUGCUCGAGUGGCGAACGGGUGAGUAACAAGUGAGUAACCUGCCCUUGACUUUGGGAUAACUUCAGGAAACUGGGGCUAAUACCGGAUAUGAGCUCCUGCUGCAUGGUGGGGGUUGGAAAGUUUCGGCGGUUGGGGAUGGACUCGCGGCUUAUCAGCUUGUUGGUGGGGUAGUGGCUUACCAAGGCUUUGACGGGUAGCCGGCCUGAGAGGGUGACCGGCCACAUUGGGACUGAGAUACGGCCCAGACUCCUACGGGAGGAAGCGGUGGGGAAUAUUGCACAAUGGGCGGAAGCCUGAUGCAGCAACGCCGCGUGCGGGAUGACGGCCUUCGGGUUGUAACCCGCUUUCGCCUGUGACGAAGCGGGAGUGACGGUAAUGGGUAAAGAAGCACCGGCUAACUACGUG